This 30-nucleotide non-coding RNA is filed under the name Mus musculus (house mouse). The record is from RNAcentral. Lineage: Eukaryota; Metazoa; Chordata; Mammalia; Rodentia; Muridae.
UGACAACUCAGUGACACCAGGUAAACCCCA